RNAcentral lists this ribosomal RNA (1404 nucleotides) under Prorocentrum tsawwassenense. RNAcentral's name for it is "eukaryotic LSU rRNA". It matches the Rfam family "Eukaryotic large subunit ribosomal RNA", at positions 74 to 1416 of the family's 3401-position model. Lineage: Eukaryota; Dinophyceae; Prorocentrales; Prorocentraceae. The record is from RNAcentral.
AUUCCUUCAGUAAUGGCGAAUGAACAGGGAUCAGCUCAGCAUGGAAAUCGAGCCCUCUGGCCUUGAAUUGUAGUCUCGAGAAGUACUGCCAACGGAGGCGCAUAUGUAAGCCUCUUGGAAAAGAGCAUCGACGAGGGCGAGAGUCCCGCUUGUCAUCAGCAGUCCCCCGUUCACGGCGUACCUUCUAAGAGUCGCGUUCCUCGGAAUUGGAGCGUCAAGUGGGUGGUAAAUUUCAUCUCAAGCUAAAUAUCGGUUCGAGACCGAUAGCAAACAAGUACCAUGAGGGAAAGGUGAAAAGGACUUUGAAAAGAGAGUUAAAAGUGCUUGAAAUUGCUGAAUGUGAAGCGAAUGGAACCAGUAUUNCUUGGCGAGAUUGUCAUGCGCUAAGGUGAUUGCUUGUUGUCUAAACGCAAGUGUGGUGGCAAGCUUUGAUCUGGACGUGUGUGGUGAUUCUUGCCUUGUGUGUCAACGCCAGUUCUCAACCGAGGAAAGCUCCAGGGACAUGGUGGCAUGCUUCCAGGUGUGUGAAUGUGCCUGGCAGAACUCAUUUGUGAAUUGAUUUUUGUGUGUGUGUGGUUGCAGUGUUCAGUGUGUGGCUUGGGCGACUGGGCAUUUCCCUGACAUGCAGACGCUGACUAAAUGGUUCUAUUCGACCCGUCUUGAAACACGGACCAAGGAGUCUAACAUAUGUGCGAGUUCACGGGUGGGUAAACCUACAUGCGCAAUGAAAGUGACUGCUGGGAUCUUUGCACCAGCAACCGACCAAUCAAUUGAGAGAGGCUUGAGUAUGAGCAUAUCUGUUAGGACCCGAAAGAUGGUGAACUAUGCCUGAGAAGGGCAAACUCAGGGGAAACUCUGAUGGAGGCUCGUAGCGAUACUGACGUGCAAAUCGUUCGUCAUACUUGGGUAUAGGGGCGAAAGACUAAUCGAACCAUCUAGUAGCUGGUUCCCUCCGAAGUUUCCCUCAGGAUAGCUGGAGCUGAACAGUUUCAUCAGGUAAAGCGAAUGAUUAGAGGAAUCGGGGGCGUGUUGUCCUCGACCUAUUCUCAAACUUUAAAUGGGUAAGAUCCAGUGGUUGCUUGGGUGAACCUCUGGGAUAAAUGACAACUCUAAGUGGGCCAUUUUUGGUAAGCAGAACUGGCGAUGAGGGAUGAACCUAACGCUGGGUUAAGGUGCUUAACUGCUCGCUCAUCAGAUACCAUAAAGGGUGUUGGUUCAUUUUAACAGCAGGACGGUGGUCAUGGAAGUUGAAAUCCGCUAAGGAGUGUGUAACAACUCACCUGCCGAAUGGACUAGCCCCGAAAAUGGAUGGCGCUCAAGCGGGUGACCGAUACCCAGCCAUUGUUGCAAUUGUGUUGCAUCAAUGAGUAGGAGGGCAUGGGGGCUUGUGAUGAAGCUUUUGGC